UACGUAGGGUGCGAGCGUUGUCCGGAAUUAUUGGGCGUAAAGAGCUCGUAGGCGGUCUGUCGCGUCGAUCGUGAAAACUUGGGGCUUAACCCUGAGCUUGCGGUCGAUACGGGCAUGACUGGAGUUCGGCAGGGGAGACUGGAAUUCCUGGUGUAGCGGUGAAAUGCGCAGAUAUCAGGAGGAACACCGGUGGCGAAGGCGGGUCUCUGGGCCGAUACUGACGCUGAGGCGCGACAGCGUGGGGAGCAAACAGG
Molecule: ribosomal RNA, 254 nt
Filed under: uncultured bacterium
Lineage: Bacteria
Description: partial 16S ribosomal RNA
Rfam family: Bacterial small subunit ribosomal RNA
Source: RNAcentral